RNAcentral lists this ribosomal RNA (324 nucleotides) under uncultured bacterium. Its description in RNAcentral is "bacterial SSU rRNA". It matches the Rfam family "Bacterial small subunit ribosomal RNA", at positions 29 to 342 of the family's 1533-position model. The record is from RNAcentral.
AGCGAACGCUGGCGGUAUGCUUAACACAUGCAAGUCGAGCGCGAAAGUGACUUCGGUCAUAAGUAGAGCGGCGGACGGGUGAGUAACACGUGGAUAAUCUGCCUUUAGGACUGGGAUAACCCUGGGAAACUAGGGCUAAUACCGGAUAAGACCACAGGUUCCAUGGAACCAGGGGUAAAAGGCGGCCUUCGGGCUGUCGCCGAAAGAUGAGUCCGCGUCCCAUCAGGUAGUUGGUGAGGUAACGGCUCACCAAGCCGAAGACGGGUAGCCGACCUUAGCGGGUGAUCGGCCACACGGGGACUGAGACACGGCCCCGACUCCUAC